RNAcentral lists this ribosomal RNA (491 nucleotides) under uncultured Lachnospiraceae bacterium. RNAcentral's name for it is "bacterial SSU rRNA". It matches the Rfam family "Bacterial small subunit ribosomal RNA", at positions 29 to 507 of the family's 1533-position model. The record is from RNAcentral. Lineage: Bacteria; Bacillati; Bacillota; Clostridia; Lachnospirales; Lachnospiraceae.
AUGAACGCUGGCGGCGUGCUUAACACAUGCAAGUCGAACGGAGUCAUCAUUUUUGAAGCAAUUAGCUUGCUAAGAGUGGAAAUGUUGAUGACUUAGUGGCGGACGGGUGAGUAACGCGUGGGUAACCUGCCAUAUACAGGGGGAUAACACUUAGAAAUAGGUGCUAAUACCGCAUAAGCGCACAGUAUUGCAUGAGACAGUGUGAAAAACUACGGUGGUAUAUGAUGGACCCGCGUCUGAUUAGCUGGUUGGUGAGGUAACGGCCCACCAAGGCGACGAUCAGUAGCCGGCCUGAGAGGGUGGACGGCCACAUUGGGACUGAGACGCGGCCCAAACUCCUACGGGAGGCAGCAGUGGGGAAUAUUGGACAAUGGGGGAAACCCUGAUCCAGCGACGCCGCGUGAGUGAAGAAGUAUUUCGGUAUGUAAAGCUCUAUCAGCAGGGAAGAAAAAAUGACGGCACCUGACUAAGAAGCCCCGGCUAACUACGUG